Molecule: non-coding RNA, 117 nt
Organism: Pan troglodytes (chimpanzee)
Lineage: Eukaryota; Metazoa; Chordata; Mammalia; Primates; Hominidae
Rfam family: Metazoan signal recognition particle RNA
About the family: The signal recognition particle (SRP) is a universally conserved ribonucleoprotein. It is involved in the co-translational targeting of proteins to membranes.
Source: Rfam
GCCGGGCGCGGUGGCUCACGCCUGUAAUCCCAGCACUUUGGGAGGCUGAGGUGGGCGGAUCACCUGAGGUCAGGAGUUCAAGACCAGCCUGACCAACAUGGAGAAACCCCAUCUCUA